Molecule: long non-coding RNA, 964 nt
Organism: Alligator mississippiensis (American alligator)
Lineage: Eukaryota; Metazoa; Chordata; Crocodylia; Alligatoridae
Exons: 3
Source: RefSeq, a predicted model, not a curated record
UUAAUUAAACAAUGCAUUUCACUAGAAGAGUGAAAACUUGGAUAAAGCCUAAUGUGAGAAAUGGAUCAUAUGACAUCUAGUAUUGAAUUUCAGGAGUUCAACUAUUUUCUAAAGAACAAACACAGAAGAAGCAAGCUGACCAUCUCUCUACCCAGGUGCUGUGCCGUUUGUCACGUUGCUUGAUGGCAUUCCAGUGAUCUUGGGAAGGUCUAUCUUAUGGGCUCACCAUUUACUGAACUAGAAAUGGCAAUGAUUCUAUUUGCUAUGUUGGUUUUUGCUCUGGUCACUGCAUUUGGAAUCUACAGUGAAAAUCAUGACAGUACUGGACAAAAACUAAAUUCCCCCCAGCAGACUUUAUUAUAGUAUGACCUACAUUUUCUUUUUACACUGGAAAUCACUCAGUGGUUUUGCUCGUAUCCAUUUGGUCCAUCAGGAUAGCAUUCUUCUGGAGAACACUCGUUUGCUUUGACUGGAAUCUGCCUUGUAUACAAACAAGAACAAAUAUUGCAAAAGACAGAUCAAUUGGAUGUAAAGAGAACAAAUCAGACAGUGCAUCAUGUGUGACAGGCUAAGAAAUGACAGACUACCUCUACUUGAAGAAAUCAAAAUUUUAAUGAAAUAGAGUUGACAUUUAAUCAUACCAUUAGGUGGCUAUAGCUAUCAUCUCUCAUUAAUCUUUUUAUUGUGCUUCCAACCAACUUUACUUCUAUUUUUUUUUCCUUUGGCCCUGGCUCUUUAAUUUAACAUCUGUGUUAAAAUAUUUAGUUCUCUCACACACCUAAAGCCUCUUCAUCGUGGUUAUAGAUGUAAAAAGUGUUUGUGUCUUUAAUUAAUACUCUGAAUUUUCUUCACUUAAGACUGGAAAUUGAUGGCUCAGCCCUUUUGCUUGAUUUUUUCCUGCAAUAUAGUACUGCUCCAUUAUUCCUAUCACUGUAAUAAAACAUUCAUUUCAGUGGAAAGGCCA